RNAcentral lists this transfer RNA (75 nucleotides) under Nitrospinota bacterium. Its description in RNAcentral is "tRNA-Gly". It matches the Rfam family "tRNA". From Rfam's summary of the family: Transfer RNA (tRNA) molecules are approximately 80 nucleotides in length. The record is from RNAcentral. Lineage: Bacteria; Pseudomonadati; Nitrospinota.
GCGGGAGUAACUCAACGGUAGAGUGUCAGCUUCCCAAGCUGAAGGUUGCGAGUUCGAAUCUCGUCUCCCGCUCCA